CAUCAUAAUUUUUAUGGAGAGUUUGAUCCUGGCUCAGGAUGAACGCUGGCGGCGUGCCUAAUACAUGCAAGUCGAGCGAACGGACGAGAAGCUUGCUUCUCUGAUGUUAGCGGCGGACGGGUGAGUAACACGUGGAUAACCUACCUAUAAGACUGGGAUAACUUCGGGAAACCGGAGCUAAUACCGGAUAAUAUUUUGAACCGCAUGGUUCAAAAGUGAAAGACGGUCUUGCUGUCACUUAUAGAUGGAUCCGCGCUGCAUUAGCUAGUUGGUAAGGUAACGGCUUACCAAGGCAACGAUGCAUAGCCGACCUGAGAGGGUGAUCGGCCACACUGGAACUGAGACACGGUCCAGACUCCUACGGGAGGCAGCAGUAGGGAAUCUUCCGCAAUGGGCGAAAGCCUGACGGAGCAACGCCGCGUGAGUGAUGAAGGUCUUCGGAUCGUAAAACUCUGUUAUUAGGGAAGAACAUAUGUGUAAGUAACUGUGCACAUCUUGACGGUACCUAAUCAGAAAGCCACGGCUAACUACGUGCCAGCAGCCGCGGUAAUACGUAGGUGGCAAGCGUUAUCCGGAAUUAUUGGGCGUAAAGCGCGCGUAGGCGGUUUUUUAAGUCUGAUGUGAAAGCCCACGGCUCAACCGUGGAGGGUCAUUGGAAACUGGAAAACUUGAGUGCAGAAGAGGAAAGUGGAAUUCCAUGUGUAGCGGUGAAAUGCGCAGAGAUAUGGAGGAACACCAGUGGCGAAGGCGACUUUCUGGUCUGUAACUGACGCUGAUGUGCGAAAGCGUGGGGAUCAAACAGGAUUAGAUACCCUGGUAGUCCACGCCGUAAACGAUGAGUGCUAAGUGUUAGGGGGUUUCCGCCCCUUAGUGCUGCAGCUAACGCAUUAAGCACUCCGCCUGGGGAGUACGACCGCAAGGUUGAAACUCAAAGGAAUUGACGGGGACCCGCACAAGCGGUGGAGCAUGUGGUUUAAUUCGAAGCAACGCGAAGAACCUUACCAAAUCUUGACAUCCUUUGACAACUCUAGAGAUAGAGCCUUCCCCUUCGGGGACAAAGUGACAGGUGGUGCAUGGUUGUCGUCAGCUCGUGUCGUGAGAUGUUGGGUUAAGUCCCGCAACGAGCGCAACCCUUAAGCUUAGUUGCCAUCAUUAAGUUGGGCACUCUAAGUUGACUGCCGGUGACAAACCGGAGGAAGGUGGGGAUGACGUCAAAUCAUCAUGCCCCUUAUGAUUUGGGCUACACACGUGCUACAAUGGACAAUACAAAGGGCAGCGAAACCGCGAGGUCAAGCAAAUCCCAUAAAGUUGUUCUCAGUUCGGAUUGUAGUCUGCAACUCGACUACAUGAAGCUGGAAUCGCUAGUAAUCGUAGAUCAGCAUGCUACGGUGAAUACGUUCCCGGGUCUUGUACACACCGCCCGUCACACCACGAGAGUUUGUAACACCCGAAGCCGGUGGAGUAACCUUUUAGGAGCUAGCCGUCGAAGGUGGGACAAAUGAUUGGGGUGAAGUCGUAACAAGGUAGCCGUAUCGGAAGGUGCGGCUGGAUCACCUCCUUUCUA
RNAcentral lists this ribosomal RNA (1564 nucleotides) under Staphylococcus aureus. RNAcentral's name for it is "16S ribosomal RNA". It matches the Rfam family "Bacterial small subunit ribosomal RNA". The record is from RNAcentral. Lineage: Bacteria; Bacillati; Bacillota; Bacilli; Caryophanales; Staphylococcaceae.